CAACCAUCGGCAAGAAGAUCACUGAGCUCACUCCGACAAGGGGCUUUGCAGCAGAAUUCGCAGCAGCCUCGGUGGUCCUUGUGGCAUCGAAGCUUGGCCUGCCCAUCUCAGCAACCCACACACUCGUUGGUGCCGUGAUGGGCGUCGGCUUUGCCAGGGGACUCAACAGCGUCAGAGCAGAGACAGUGCGCGAGAUUGUUACUUCUUGGGCAGUGACCAUACCAGUUGGUGCAGUGUUGUCUGUCUUCUAUACAUGGAUCUCCACCAAGCUGUUGUCAUUUUUGAUCUAAGCUGUCCAAGUUGACAAGGGAGCUUUUGUCAUAGUCUCCAUUGCCUGUAACAUUCUCUUUGCAUUUGAUCCAGAGCAGUCCUGCACACAAGAGCCAGAGGUCAAGAAUUACAUACAAGGUUAAUGACAAGCUCAUGACCAGGAAGCAUCAUCCGGUUAUGCAUUGCGGCUAACAGCUCAUAAUUAGGAUUAUAUCUGCUCCCUGCAUCAUCCCAGUUUCUGAUUCACUUGGUUGUUCCGUUGAUAGUUUCUGCGCUGUUGUAAGAGGAUAAAUCAAAUAUUCUUGUCAUCAUAAAGCUUCUUAUGUUCUCUCUCCUGUAUUUAGUUUGGACCCAUUACUUUCUUCGAGACUUAAAAAGGACUCAUCAAGAGAAUUAUGUUCUUCAUUUACAGAGGUAGUGUCUCAAUUAGUUCGUACUCAUGGUGUUUUAUUGUCCUCAUGCCAAUUGAUGUGGACUACAUUUUGCAGCUUCCCUGGUUCUCCCAACCAAUACAGUAGACAGAUACCCACCAUUAGUGAUAAUUCAUUACCAUUGCUUGUUUGCCUAUUAGAGAUCACUAUUUAUUAAGAUAUGAGACAGACAGCCCUCCUCAAUUACUGCCUUUAGUUUUUUUAUCCUACUUACCCUGAACCAAAGAUGUAAUUCAAAUAUUUUCUAAUGCCCAUUAGAGAUCACCAUUUAUUAAGAUAUGAGACAGGCAGCCAGCCUUCCUCAAUUACUGCCUUUAAUUUUUCUAUCCUACUUACCCUGAACCAAAGAUGUAAUUCAAAUAUUUUCUAAUGCUUUAGGACUCCUAAUUACUGAAUUUUACAAAGGCAAGUGUUCACCACUAAAUUCUCAAUUAAAAUCUCAAAAGCUUUGAUGACGAAAUCCCCUACUAAUGAUUACUAUUCAUUAAUACCACUUAAAAGAAGAUUAAAUGGCAUAAUACAUUCUCUUGGUUGUAUAAUAGCACUAUUUUAAUAGCAUUUUAAUUGUAUAGGUGACAAUGAGAGAUUCAAUGGAUGACCUUGGAUUAAGAGUACCAUGGAUACUAGAUCUAGGUCGCAUAGUGAUUGAUGAAAUCAAAUGGUGCACAUAUCAAACCAACUCAUGUUCAAAUUGGCCAGUCCACUGAAAUGGGCACAUGAUUUCCUAGGGCGUCGACUAAUAAGUAAAUUUAUCUCAAGAUAAUCAUAUGCAUGAUUUGCAGAUUAUAGUUUACAAUCUUAGCAAACCUUGUUAGUGUUCCUUUUUUCUCUUAUAGCGCCAUCCAUGUCUGAAAUAAACUAACCUCCAAGAGAUAAUUGACAUGAAAGCUCUCAAGCUACAGAAGAUUUUUUUCCCGUGAAAAAAAAGUGACAAAAACAAGAUUUGAUUCUAAAAUUUUACAAUCAAUUAUCAAUAUAUUUACCAAUUAAACUAAUUAAUAUGUUCAGAAUUUGUCAAAUAAGAUAUUUAACCAGAUCUGAUACACUGAUGUUGUAGCUCGAUCACAAGGACACUGAGAUGAAGAGUGCCAGAGUGAAUACGAUUCGCAAACAAAAGAAAAUGUCAAAGCCAGAGAAAAGAAGAGGCGACCGCUUUGUCGAACUCGGGGCAUCGAAACCGUGGUGACACCAGGUUUAUCACAUCAAGAACAGACCGCCGAAUAGAAUGACUUCAUCGGGUUCAAGACAAGCAAUCAACAUAUCACUAAAUAGGUUUUGAGAUCUAAAAAUCUCAAGUAAGCCAAGAAUAACAUCCCGAUCUUUACAUCGCAAAGAGUGAAGAAACUGCAGCAUGUAUCGUCAUGGAAGGUAGAACAUGGAAACAAGGAACACAGCGUAACAGAGAGGGGUAAUACCUGCCUCUCGAAUGACGAUCAAAUGAGAGAACGGAAGCGAGCGCCGCCUCCUCCUCUUCGAGAUCCACGACGCCAAGAGAAGAACCUUGAGAACGGGAAGGGUUUGGUAUUUAAAGAAUUGGUUCGCCACGUGUCUGGUUCGGAUAUUGACUAGCCGCAAGAGAGGCCGAACCGGACCAGACCUGCAAACGGGUUCGUAAUACUUGAAGUGGAUCCGAACCCGAGGACUAACGGGUCGA
Molecule: long non-coding RNA, 2355 nt
Filed under: Musa acuminata (dwarf banana)
Lineage: Eukaryota; Viridiplantae; Streptophyta; Magnoliopsida; Zingiberales; Musaceae
Description: long non-coding RNA (MACU_LNC001058)
Source: RNAcentral